AGUUAUUAUUAUUUUUAUUAUUUUAUUUCAUUAUUAUUAUUAGUAUUAUUUAUUAUUAUUAUUAUUAUUAUUUUCUACAAGUCCCAUGGUUUCCAUAGCAUUGGCCCAUGGCUAUUCCAAGUGGAGGCAAGCUACAUCCCUGCUGCAACGAGACUCAAAACUGUUGUGGGCUUUUCUGCUUCUGCCCCUUUUUUGCAGGCAAAGCAGUUUCCAUCGUGCAAUCCCAGUGCAGGCGCAGCGCAUGGAAAGAGCAUUGUCCUCCGUGUGCCGUGGAGGCCGUGGGGAGGGGUUUCCUGUCCCGGCCUGGGAAAGGAAACACCGGCCUCCCUUUGGGUCCCGAGAAGGCCAUUUGGGCGGAGGGAUAUGCAAGGCCUGCCAGGACCCCACCACAUCCACUCCAAGUGGUGCCAAACUCGGUCCAUGAGUAGUCAAUGCGCUCUGGUUUACACAGGCUAAAGCAGGCAUGGGCCAACUUCGGCCCUCCCUCCAGGUGUUUUGGACUACAACUCCCACCAUUCCUAACAGCCUACCGGCUGAUCACGGUGUUUUGCAGACCCCGUCCCGCGCAGUGUCCAUGGGACGAAAGCGCGGCCUCCCCAAGUGCCUUUUCCCUCUUUGGCUUUCUGGCCUUGGAGGCUGGCAGAAAACAGGCCUCGUCUGGAGAGCCUGGAUUACGGCCAGCCUUCCGCUUAUCUUUCUCUCUCGUUCUUCCGCUUUCCUUUAUUUGCUUUUCCUGCCUUGGAGUCUCGGGCAGAGGUUACCCAUGCGGCCCAGGGCAGAGCAUUCCCAGCGCAUCCACACCCUACAACUGAUGCAGUUUGGUGCCACUUGGAUUGCCACGGGUCAAUGCAAUGGGAGGUGUAGUUUGAUUGCCAGGGUUCGAUGCAAUGGGAGGCGUAGUUUGCAAUGGAAGGUGUAGUUUGAUUGCCAUGGUGUAAUGUAAUGGGAGCCGUAGUUUGCGAUGGGAGGCGUAGUUUGUAAUGGGAGGCGUAGUUUGAUUGCCAGGGUUAGAUGUAAUGGGAGGCAUAGUUUGCAAUGGGAGGUGUAGUUUGCAAUGGGAGGUGUAGUUUGAUUACCAUGGUGAAAUGUAAUGGGAGCCGUAGUUUGCAAUGGGAGGCGUAGUUUGUAAUGGGAGGCGUAGUUUGAUUGCCAGGGUUAGAUGUAAUGGGAGGCAUAGUUUGCAAUGGGAGGUGUAGUUUGCAAUGGGAGGCGUAGUUUGAUUGCCAGGGUUAGAUGUAAUGGGAGGCAUAGUUUGCAAUGGGAGGUGUAGUUUGCAAUGGGAGGUGUAGUUUGAUUACCAUGGUGAAAUGUAAUGGGAGCCGUAGUUUGCAAUGGGAGGCGUAGUUUGUAAUGGGAGGCGUAGUUUGAUUGCCAGGGUUAGAUGUAAUGGGAGGCAUAGUUUGCAAUGGGAGGUGUAGUUUGCAAUGGGAGGCGUAGUUUGAUUGCCAGGGUUAGAUGUAAUGGGAGGCAUAGUUUGCAAUGGGAGGUGUAGUUUGCAAUGGGAGGUGUAGUUUGAUUACCAUGGUGAAAUGUAAUGGGAGCCGUAGUUUGCAAUGGGAGGCGUAGUUUGUAAUGGGAGGCGUAGUUUGAUUGCCAGGGUUAGAUGUAAUGGGAGGCAUAGUUUGCAAUGGGAGGUGUAGUUUGUAAUGGGAGGCGUAGUUUGAUUGCCAGGGUUAGAUGUAAUGGGAGGCAUAGUUUGCAAUGGGAGGUGUAGUUUGCAAUGGGAGGUGUAGUUUGAUUGCCAUGGUGUAAUGUAAUGGGAGCCGUAGUUUGCAAUGGGAGGCGUAGUUUGUAAUGGGAGGCGUAGUUUGAUUGCCAGGGUUAGAUGUAAUGGGAGGCAUAGUUUGCAAUGGGAGGUGUAGUUUUCAAUGGGAGGCGUAGUUUGAUUACCAUGGUGAAAUGUAAUGGGAGCCGUAGUUUGCAAUGGGAGGCGUAGUUUGAUUGCCAUGGUGUAAUGUAAUGGGAGCCGUAGUUUGCAAUGGGAGGCGUAGUUUGUAAUGGGAGGCGUAGUUUGAUUGCCAGGGUUAGAUGUAAUGGGAGGCAUAGUUUGCAAUGGGAGGUGUAGUUUUCAAUGGGAGGCGUAGUUUGAUUGCCACAGUUGAAUCUAUUGGGAAGUGUAGUUUGCAAUGGGAGGCGUAGUACAUGUAAAUAAUAAUAAUGAUGAUAGUGAUGAUGAUGAUGAUGAUAGACAAAUCCCAGACACUUAGACCUAAUGUGCAUGUGUGCUGUGUUGUUAUGUACAUGAUAAUAAUAAUAAUAAUAAUAAUAAUAAUGAUGAUAAUAGAUAUCCCUUUUCUAUCUAGAUGUAAAAUAAGGAAAUAAGUAAAUGAAUGCAUUUUAUUUAUUUGCAUUUUACCCAAAUGGACUG
Molecule: long non-coding RNA, 2368 nt
Organism: Anolis carolinensis (green anole)
Lineage: Eukaryota; Metazoa; Chordata; Lepidosauria; Squamata; Anolidae
Exons: 4
Source: RefSeq, a predicted model, not a curated record